Long non-coding RNA from Saccostrea cuccullata (small rock oyster), 1206 nucleotides. RefSeq lists it as uncharacterized. NCBI's taxonomy places the organism in Eukaryota, Metazoa, Mollusca, Bivalvia, Ostreida, Ostreidae. The record is from RefSeq and is a predicted model, not a curated record. The transcript is spliced from 3 exons.
AUUUAUCUGCAUCAAACUGUGACAAAACAAAUAAAUGCUGUGAAAUACAUAUAAAUCGUAUGAAUGAACGAGAAAAUCUAAAACUGCUGAAACAUCCGUUAAGGAACAGGUCCAGUUGUAUAGUUUUCAUAAGGCAAAUUUAUACAGCUUUUGAUCAAGGUGAUAAGUUUACCGACUUCGAGAAAUGCAAGAAUUCCUCCUGUCAACAGUGCCGUGUAAAUGGAUGUCCAUUUGUUGAUUGUUUUGAUUGUGUGGAUACAGUUUUUCUGCUCAGAAGUAUGAUUAAUAAUGUUUUUAUAUCAUUCAAACAGUGCAACAUGCAAAACAUGAAUGUCCAGAAAGAGUUUCGUUUUCAUACAAGAAGCGUAAUUUGCAAUAAUUAUUAUCUUCUUUAAUUAUCUGGUUGUAUAAGUUAAAAAUGAUGCUAUUCAAACCAGCAACCAUGUUUUAGCACAGUUCUGGUAAGUGUUUACUCUUAUGUCUGUGGUAUAUGCGCCAGGGUUUCAAAAUAUUAAAUAAUUGCAAUAGACGACAUGCGAAGCUGUGUUUUGAAGGUCGGGUCAUUUGAUUUUCAUGAAUAUUAAAAGAAAUUUGUGACAGUUACACACUUUAUAGCUUUCGUAAACAUCGAGCACAGGUUUUUUUUUCAAAGUCGAGAUCGAAAUAUAAUGUGUAUAUUAUAUUUAUAAAGGAUGUGUGAAAAUAUCUUUGUUGAACAACCUUGCGCUCUAUGUUUUCUACAUAAAAGUAACUUGAUUUUGAAUCUGUUUGGUGAGUACAUUUACAUAGAAUUAACCUCUUGUUGACCUACUAUAGGUAAUAAGUCACGUAAAUCUAUACCGUCACAGGUGAAUACCUCCGGAAAGCUUGUUUAUUUUAUGAGGCUACACAUGGAGCUUGUAUUUGACCAGUACAAUUAACCAAUUUCAUUUUUUAAAAUCCAAAACAAAGUUCUCACUAGACUUCGAUGAAUAUCAUUUAUGUUACACUGUGGGCCUUGAUGAUUUUCCAGGACAUUUUUCUUAAUUCUAAGGCGUGUAAUCGUAAUUUUCCUGGGCAUUGCCAUUUCGAAGAACACACGAAACAAUAUAUAUGUACUAGAAUAUGUAUAUAAAUACACAUUUAAACAUUUCCUUCCGGAAAAAAACUAACAAAAUCCACGCAAACUAUUCCAAAGAAGUUACAAUUUCAUUUAAUAUAAACAAA